CUGGUGAUUCAUAAUAACUUCUCGAAUCGCAUGGCCUUGCGCCGGCGAUGGUUCAUUCAAAUUUCUGCCCUAUCAACUUUCGAUGGCAGGGUCUUGGCCUGCCAUGGUUACAACGGGUAACGGAGGGUUAGGGCUCGACCCCGGAGAAGGAGCCUGAGAAACGGCUACUACAUCCAAGGAAGGCAGCAGGCGCGCAAAUUACCCAAUCCCGACACGGGGAGGUAGUGACAAUAAAUACUGAUACAGGGCUCUUUUGGGUCUUGUAAUUGGAAUGAGUACAAUUUAAAUCCCUUAACGAGGAACAAUUGGAGGGCAAGUCUGGUGCCAGCAGCCGCGGUAAUUCCAGCUCCAAUAGCGUAUAUUAAAGUUGUUGCAGUUAAAAAGCUCGUAGUUGAACCUUGGGCCUGGCUGGCCGGUCCGCCUCACCGCGUGCACUGGUUCGGCCGGGCCUUUCCCUCUGGGGAGCCCCAUGCCCUUCACUGGGUGUGGUGGGGAACCAGGACUUUUAC
This 509-nucleotide ribosomal RNA is filed under the name Xylariales sp. MEG9. RNAcentral describes it as "SSU rRNA". It matches the Rfam family "Eukaryotic small subunit ribosomal RNA", at positions 243 to 755 of the family's 1831-position model. The record is from RNAcentral. Lineage: Eukaryota; Fungi; Ascomycota; Sordariomycetes; Xylariales.